AAUGUUGAUUCAUUGACAAGCCACUUGUAUGUUACUACACCUUCAGUGCUUAUAGCUGUACAACUGAAUGAUGCAUUUUUUCCUUCAGCUUUGAUAAUACUUAUAGGCUGUAAUGUGAAUCUUAGUACGUGACCUGGACAAGAGUUUUACGAUGUACGACUUUGUGGAUUAAGGAAAGCUAUCGAUUCUUAAACUUUGGCCAUGGCCAACCAAAAAGAUUCCAUAAAAUGUACUCACUGCUAUAAGCAAUAGCCGAUAUCUAAUGAGCAUGAUCUUUGACUGGAAAUAUCAUAGGAUAGUUCACCGGGUCCAUAACACAAGCCUAAAGGCUUCAACAAUGUCGAUAUGAAAUUUGAUAUUAAAAAUAGAGUGACUGACA
Molecule: long non-coding RNA, 379 nt
Organism: Actinia tenebrosa (Australian red waratah sea anemone)
Lineage: Eukaryota; Metazoa; Cnidaria; Anthozoa; Actiniaria; Actiniidae
Source: RefSeq, a predicted model, not a curated record